RNAcentral lists this unclassified non-coding RNA (275 nucleotides) under Hevea brasiliensis (rubber tree). The record is from RNAcentral. Lineage: Eukaryota; Viridiplantae; Streptophyta; Magnoliopsida; Malpighiales; Euphorbiaceae.
ACAGAGCUGAGCAAGUAUAAGUUCUUAUUAUAAAUUCCAACUUCCUAUAUACAAAAAGGUUUAAAAAAAAUGCAAGGGAGAUAGAUCAAGAGAUGACAGUAACUCAAGAUCAGAUCCAAUGUUUUUUGUGAUACAGACACAAAUACAGAUACAAUCUUUCUUAAUACAGAUCGCAUCAUGACUCAUUACACUAAUCUACACAUAAUCUAAAAAUCCAUUUUGUUUUUCAUCAUCCACCAUUUGAGUACAUCAUUUUUCCGAGCAAAAUUUGAAAA